This 1641-nucleotide ribosomal RNA is filed under the name Haplosporidium sp. RNAcentral describes it as "SSU rRNA". It matches the Rfam family "Eukaryotic small subunit ribosomal RNA". The record is from RNAcentral. Lineage: Eukaryota; Endomyxa; Ascetosporea; Haplosporida; Haplosporidiidae.
GCUGAUACACGGAUAACCGUAGUAACUCUAGGGCUAAUACGUGAUAAAUCUCCUUCGGGGGUGUGCAUAUUAGCUGAAAACCAAUUUUGGUUGAACGAUAGUAUUUUUCGGAUCGCGUUGGGUUUCCCAGCGACAUGUCAUUCAAGUUUCUGCCCUAUCAGCUUGACGGUAGGUUAUUGGCCUACCGUGGCAUUGACGGGUAACGGGGAAUCAGGGUUCGAUUCCGGAGAGGCAGCCUGAGAAACGGCUACCACAUCCACGGAAGGCAGCAGGUGCGCAAAUUACCCAAUUCUGACUCAGAGAGGUAGUGACAAGAAAUAACGAUAUGCGGCCUUCAUGGUUGCCUAAUCGGAAUGAGAACAAUUUAAACGCCUUAUCGAUCACCAAGUGGAGGGCAAGCCUGGUGCCAGCAGCCGCGGUAAUACCAGCUCCACUAGCGUAUACUAAAGUUGUUGCUGUUAAAAAGCUCGUAGUUGGAUAUCAGUUCAGGCAGCAAGGCCCGGUAGUGUAACUAGCGCGCGCCUAAACGAUUUAUCGGCCGCCUGAACUUAAUUCAGGACUGCCGGUCUGGCCAUUUAUUUGGCACGGGUCGGCGAGCCCUGAUCUUUUACUUUGAGAAAAUUAAGGUGCUCAAAGCAGGCUUUCGCCUGAAUGCAUUAGCAUGGAAUAAUAAAAACGACUUUGGCAUCGGGGAGUGCAAACGACCCGAGUGUUUUGUUGGUUUUGGGCCAAAGUAAUGAUUGAUAGAAACAAUUGGGGAUGCUAGUAUCGCCGGGCCAGAGGUAAAAUUCUAUGAUUCCGGUGAGACUAACUUAUGCGAAAGCAUUCAUCAAGCGUGUUUUCUUUAAUCAAGAACUAAAGUUGGGGGAUCGAAGACGAUCAGAUACCGUCGUAGUCCCAACCAUAAACCAUGUCGACUAAGCAUUGGGCAAAAAACUUCCUCAGCACUUUAUGAGAAAUCAAAGUCUUCGGACUCAGGGGGAAGUAUGCUCGCAAGAGUGAAACUUAAAGAAAUUGACGGAAGGGCACCACCAGAUGUGGAGCCUGCGGCUUAAUUUGACUCAACACGGGAAAACUUACCAGGUCCAGACAUAGUAAGGAUUGACAGAUUGAAGUUCUUUCUUGAUUCUAUGCAUGGUGGUGCAUGGCCGUUCUUAGUUGGUGGAGUGAUUUGUCUGGUUAAUUCCGAUAACGAACGAGACCUCAGCCAUCUAAAUAGCAGUCGCUAACCCGUUAGCUAUAUCCUUACGGAUAGAUCCGCUUCUUAGAGGGACAAUCUGUGCAUAGCAGAUGGAAGUUUGAGGCAAUAACAGGUCAGUGAUGCCCUUAGAUGCUCUGGGCUGCACGCGCGCUACAAUGGUGCAUUCAGCGAGUUCAUCCUUGCCUGAGAAGGCUGGGUAAUCUUGAAAGUGCAUCCAAGUUGGGAUAGAUGAUUGCAAUUGUUCAUCUUGAACAAGGAAUAUCUAGUAAACGCAAGUCAUCAACUUGCAUUGAUUACGUCCCUGCCCUUUGUACACACCGCCCGUCGCUUCUACCGAUUGAAUAAUCCGGUGAACUGAGUGGAUGGAGUGAAGUCCUCGGAUUUGGCUCCAGAAGCUUCGUAAACCUUAUUAUUUAGAGGAAGGAAAAGUCGUAACAAGG